ACGGAAGGCAGCAGUGAGGAAUAUUGGUCAAUGGGCGGAAGCCUGAACCAGCCAAGUCGCGUGAAGGAAGAAGGUAUUAUGUAUUGUAAACUCCUUUAGCAGCAGAGAAAUAAGGUGGACGUGUCCACUGAUGCUAGUAUGCUGAGAAUAAGCAUCGGCUAACUCCGUGCCAGCAGCCGCGGUAAUACGGAGGAUGCGAGCGUUAUCCGGAUUUAUUGGGUUUAAAGGGUGCGCAGGCGGUCUUUUAAGUCAGUGGUCAAAUCGUGGUGCUCAACGCCAUCCCGCCAUUGAUACUGGGAGACUUGAUUGCGGUUGAGGUAGGCGGAAUUCGUCGUGUAGCGGUGAAAUGCAUAGAUAUGACGAAGAACACCGAUUGCGUAGGCAGCUUACCAAGCCGUAAAUGACGCUCAUGCACGAAAGUGCGGGGAUCGAACAGGAUUAGAUACCCUGGUA
Molecule: ribosomal RNA, 453 nt
Filed under: uncultured Porphyromonadaceae bacterium
Lineage: Bacteria; Pseudomonadati; Bacteroidota; Bacteroidia; Bacteroidales; Porphyromonadaceae
Description: partial 16S ribosomal RNA
Rfam family: Bacterial small subunit ribosomal RNA
Source: RNAcentral